Molecule: transfer RNA, 64 nt
Filed under: Tegra novaehollandiae viridinotata
Lineage: Eukaryota; Metazoa; Arthropoda; Insecta; Orthoptera; Tettigoniidae
Description: tRNA-His
Source: RNAcentral
GCUUGAAUAGUUUAAUAAAAAUAUUGAUUUGUGAUGUCAGAGAUGUAAUUUAAUACUUCAGGUU